RNAcentral lists this long non-coding RNA (14557 nucleotides) under Vitis vinifera (wine grape). RNAcentral's name for it is "long non-coding RNA (VVIN_LNC004570)". The record is from RNAcentral. Lineage: Eukaryota; Viridiplantae; Streptophyta; Magnoliopsida; Vitales; Vitaceae.
GUGGUGCAGAAUUGUUCACGCUUUUGGACCAGUUAAUUAGAUCGGGCUUAGAUUUUUCUUUUUUGCUGUAGGUUCCAUUCAAUUCAUGUUUUGAUGAUUGUUGGGAUAAGAGCAAUUUAACACCUAGCAUUCGGUGUUAUUAUGGAUUUAGCCAUGUUGCAUGGGUUCGGGUGUAGGUGUAGGUUAUGUGUCUACUUGUCCGAUCCUUCAUACCUAUGAAUCUUAGGAUAUGGGAACUUUGCUAAAAAGAGGUCUCUAUAAUGGAUAUGGACACUGGAUACAACAUAGAAAAAGAGGAAAAAAGAAAAUCGAUUUGAAAUCAGUUAAAAGCAUAUAUAUAUAUAUAUUCCUCAUGUCUGACUUUUUUUUUUUUCUUUGGUAAAAGUCCACUUCACAGAUAUUUUUUUUUUCUAAUUGGAAUUAUUUGUUAAAGAAGUUGAAACUAAAAAAAUAAAUAAAUCAAAGUAAAAACAAUCAUAUUUGAAGCAUGGUUCAAAGUAUCAUCCAAUACUGGUAUGUUUAAGCCAAGUCUUUGUCAUAGUUGUGACAAGUCCAACACCCAUGUUGGUAUCAUGUGGUUUAACAAUAACUUGGUUUCAAUUCAAAAUGAAUCACUUGACCGAUUGAGCUUAUUAGAGUUAUAACUCACAAAAUUCAAAUCAAUUCAUUUUCAAAAUAGUAAUUUUUACCAAUUACCUUUUAUCAUUUUUAUUUUUUAUUUUCAAGAUAUACUAUUAUAAAAAAUUGGUACUUGUGUAAAGUUGAAUAUAAUAGCGUUUUAAAAUUUGUUAAUUCUUAACAUUAUCAUAAAGUAAUUCUAACGCAAGCUUUUAUAAUAAUUUAGAUAAUGUUAAAUGCUAUAAAUGUUAAUUUAUUAAUUUGUUGAGUCUAUUUAAUUAUAAUUAUUUUUCUAAAAUUUUCAUUAGUUUUCUAGAGUUUUUUGAAUUGAUAUAUUGUGCAUAUCGCCCAAUACCAAUAUGAGAUACUAAGAUUGAUAUGCCUCGAGACUUGUCGAGUCAGCAAGUGAUACCACGACUUUGAACCAUGAUUUGAAGCAAAGUAGGAUUAUUAAACAAGAAUCUUAACACUUUAUCUCAACAUUUGGGGAAGGAUCUUAAUUCUUGAUCAACUCAGGAGGGGAUGGAGUUUUCCAAAUAAAUGUUACAUGUUAAAAAGGAAGAAUUGGUUGAAUGCUUGCUCCUUCACUGCUCCAUAGCAAGAAUCCUGUGGCCACUAAUUUUUUUUCCUGUUUGAAGUGGCAAGGGUGAUGCACUCCUCUAUAAGAGGAACUCUUUUGAGUUGACAUGGCUCUUUGGUGGGGAAGAAGCAGAAGAAACCUUAGAGUGUUGCUCCUAUGUUUGUUUUGGAACUUAUAGAAGAAAAGUAAUAGAAGGUCAUUUGAAGACGUAGAAUUGUGGGUUCAAGCAAUCAAAUCCCCUUUUUGUUUAAUCUUUUGGGUUUUAGAGUUUAUAUAGAUGAUCCUCCUAUUGCCAUGAUAGGCUUUGUAGAUUUGUUGAGUACUGAACAAGGAUAGAAGGGUUGUUUUUUGUUGUCUUUUCAUUUUAUGCUUCCCUAGUAGGCAUUAUCUGUAUGCAUUGUGUGUAAUAUGGUGUGCCCUUUUUCAUGCGCUUCUAAAAUCGACUUUUUUUUUUUUUUGCCUGUCCAUAAAAAAAAAAAAAAAAUUAUUAAACAAAUCCAACAUACAUACCCAUACCCACGCCCAAAGUCAUGUCAUGUUAACAUAGGUAUAGGUACAUUAGGUGAAGUGGGAGAGUCUAGUUGUCAUGGGGUAUAGAAAAAAGAUCAUAAUAUCAGCUUCUGACUAGUUGGAAUACACUCAGAGCUUCAUUUCUGAGUGAUGCUUCUAUUUUUCACUACAAAAUUCCAUUUCAUAUUGAAGUGCUUUCUUUAUUUGAAGCUUUUGGGGAUCUAGGUGCUAGAGAGCUGCUUUGCACUAUUUGUGGAAUAUAAUAAGCCAUGCUAGAAAAAGAAAGCAUGUAUAGAGGAUCAACUGUUGAAUUCUUCAAGAACUUAUAGAAGUUCUUCGCAUAUAUUGCCCUUCUUAAACUAUGUCUUGCAUUUUGCUUAGGUUUUCUUACUUGUUUGUAGGGACGCAUUUGUUGAUUAUUGGGUCAAUGGCAACAUGUUGACGAUGGAUAUAGCAACCCAAAUAUUUAAAAUUUUAAAGCAACCAGAUCUCAAAUACCUCACUCAGGUACUUUUUUUUCUUUAUAUAUAUAUUAUGUUCUGUCCAUUCCAUUUUUCUUUUAUUGCAACAAAAAAGAAUAAAGAAAAAAAUAAAUAUAUUGAUGAUGCAAUUACAGUUUAGUAUCUCUAUGUAUAUGAUUUUGAUUGACUCAAAUUUUGGUAAUUGGUCAAAUUGCUGUUAAAAUUGCAUUUGUUUAUAGUAAUGGCAUAUGGUCUGUUCUUACCUCAAUUACAUAAUUUUUAAAAUGGUUUCCAACUUCAUGACAGGUUGACUUCAAACCUGUACUUAGAGAACUUUUGGCAACUCAUCCAGGGUUGGAAUUCCUACAAAGUACUCCUGAGUUCCAGGAAAGAUACGGUUUGUUCUCAACUAGCUGGUUCCUUUUUUCCUUUUUUUUUUUUUCUGGUUAUCUUAGUUUGGUAGGCUUGUGAGCAUUUCUCCUUUGGAAAGGUCAUUUUAAAAUACAUCUAAAUGUAGACAGAUUCAGUAGAGUUCAUUUUGUUUUACUUUUUGUUGAAAAUCAGUAAUCUUGAGAAUACUUUUAUGGUUCAAACAUAACCACCACCAAUGGUGGCUGUAAAAUAUACAUUAUUUUUUAUCCAAUAGCUGUAAAUGGACUACUCGUACCUUGAAGGAUUUCUUGUCCUUCUCUUUCUUAUCCUUUUCUUUUCUUAUCCUCUUGUUUUUAAUAAAGUAGUCUUCCCUUGGGUCUUAUCCCCAAAACAAAAAGAUCUUGAAUUAUAUAGUAAUCUGCCUAUGCUCUAGUAGAUGGGUUCAACCUUAUUUAUUGGACCAGAUUUUUUUAAAAGAAAUAAUAACAUGGUUGUCUUUCAUUUUUCCUUUUGAUUGUGCAUUUCUUUAUGUAUUUAUUAUGUGGUAGAAUCCUUUGAUGGUUUAUUGGAUGUCUUUAUUAACUAGUUACAGGAGACUAUCAGCUAGCACAUGUUCUUAUGAACAUACAAUGGAUGAAUCGAAUUCAUUAUUCCUAGUGCUAUUAAGAUCUCUCUCUCUCUCUCUCUCUCUCUUCCUCUUCAUUUUCUCAUUGUCUUCUAUUUUUCUGAUGCAUUUUUAACUUCUAUUGCAAUGGGCCAGCUGAAACUGUAAUAUACCGAAUAUUUUACUACAUGAAUAGAUCUGGGAAUGGUCAACUUACCCUCAGAGAGCUAAAACGUGGGAACUUAAUUGCUGCAAUGCAACAUGCAGAUGACGAGGAGGACAUCAAUAAAGUGUUGAGGUAAACGACCAAUGAAAACUUGGAUUAGUUUGUCUUUGAAUAGAGAUUGCUGGUUGUCUAGUCAUGUAUCUUGGGCAGGUCUUAUUUUUUUUUUUUUUACAUUUUUAACAGCAAGUUUGUCAGUAUUGCUGUUAAGUGGUCAGAUCCUAUUAAUGAUAAAGUCCAUAUAUAAAUCUGAUUUGACUGGUUCAGAGUGAGAAAUCUCUCUCCAGUCAAUCAUUAAAUGCCAUUUUGAGUUCUUCAAUGUCUGAGUGACAUUGAUUACAUCACGAGAAAAAUUCUUUUUUUGUCCCCCUUUUGUUUGUUUGUGUUAUUUAUUUAUUUAUCCUAUUUUAACUUCUGGAGGUUUCUCAGAAAAUACAAUAGGAGAUAGUUGGUUUGUUACUUUUCAUAUUUGUGGGAAUACUCUCAUAACAUUUUUAGCAUGUACUGUGUGGUAUUAAAAUUUUAACACCAUUGCUUUUUUUUUUUUGAUUAUGCCCUUACCAUAGGUACUUCUCUUAUGAACACUUCUAUGUUAUAUACUGCAAGUUCUGGGAGCUGGAUACCGACCAUGAUUUUUUGAUUGAUAAAGAGAACCUAAUCAGAUAUGGUAACCAUGCACUUACCUAUCGAAUUGUUGAUAGAAUAUUUUCCCAGGUUUGUGUCUGUCAGAUAAUAAAUUCGUUUUUUAGAUCAAAUGAGCUGCUUUUUACGGAGGAGAAUUUCACAUUCGUGAAUGCUUCAUCUCUUAGUAUUUCUUCGUUUCUCUCAGAUUCCAAGAAAGUUUACGAGCAAGGUUGAAGGCAAGAUGGGAUAUGAAGAUUUUGUCUACUUCAUACUGUCGGAAGAGGAUAAAACAUCUGAGCCUAGUCUUGAGUAUUGGUAUUUCUGCAGCUCCUAUUUUGUUGAGCCAGUUUUAUUGUGACAAUUUCAUGCACUAAUAACUCCACUAAUGAAUGAAUAUCUUGUCUAUUUUUUUUGAAGUGCAUGAUUUUCAAAUUCCAUGCUUAAUUGGAAGUUAUAUUUUUUAAUUAGGCUUUCAGUUAUGAAAUGGGAAACAUGAAAUAUCAUAGAGAUUUCCAUUUUAUGACAAGUUUUCAAAUGGGUUUUUGUUAUACGAGUUCAUGUAAGAUAUCUUGCUCACAAAAAAUGUUGCACAGGUAUCAACAAAGGGGGAAUUCCCUUUCACAAUAUAUCAUGAUUGGGUAGGAUUGUUUUACUGCAAUACCUACCUAGGGCUAACCCCUGAAAAAACUAUACAUAAUCUCCAUGAAGGACAUAAAAAUGGAUGAAGUAACAUGUUUUCAUCUUUUGAAACUUAUAAAUUGUUUUAUUGGGGGCUAGUAUUUAUGUCUGUUGCAAUUGAAGAAUAUUAAAAUAUUAGUCUAUAGUACAUAUAUAUAUAUAUAUAUAUAUAUAUAUAUAUAGAUAUUAUGAGAAACAACAGUAUAGUAUAUUAAGGUAAGUAAAAGUAAAGUACAAUAGAAGGAUGACAAAUCGUCCAAAAACUACACAAAAAGAAAGUAGGAACCUCCAAAAUACUAGUAAAUCUAUACAACCAUGAGAUUCCACAAACCAUGUCCCAUGUGAGAAUAUACAAAAAAUAAUCUAUCCUUGCUAGACUAUAGUGAAAUUUGUGGACCCAGUUUGCAUGGAAUUGCUUAGGAGAUAUGAUCUACAUAUAUGAGAAGAAAUUACAAUAUUUGUAUGAGUUGACUGGAAACUCAGAAUUAUGACGUCUACAUGCAUCGUAUAUUAUUGUAUUGUGUACACUAUAUGAUGUGCUUUUGUACCCAAAUCCAAUAGAACAAAGUCUACUCAGUGAGAUUCUUUACACAAUAGGUAGCAUCAGUUUUUUUUUUUGGGAAAAUAGAUAUGGAUUCUGAUUACUUUUGCUGGCGCAUUAUGUAUCAUAUUAUUAUCAAAUUUGUCAGAUUUUGAGAAACAUUAAAAAUUGUUUGGAACAUUUGAACAGCAUGUAUCUAAACGCAAUGAUAAUCUAGAAUAUUGAUGAAUAUAAACUAUAUAAUAAAUUGCACCCAACAUGCCACUUCAGGAGAGUACAGUGCAGAACAUGAAGUGAAAUUUGCUAAAAUGCUGCAGUAAACAUGUAUAUCUUCAUUUGAAAUAAUUUUUUUGGUAAGUCAUCUAGGAUGUUUUUUUGUUAACUUAGUUGAAAUAUAUUUGUAUGUGCAUUACCUUUCCUUUUUCAGCAAUUAUGAUGUGGUAUUUCAAUAUAUAAGACAAAGAAUACAAAAAGAUAAGGAAGCAGCCAUGUUUUGAUAUAGGGGUAUAAAUUUCUAAUUAAAAAUUAAUAUCCAAUCACAUGUAACGCAGUACUGUAUGAGUUCUGUAUAAUUGUUCUAAUGACAAAAGCUAUAAUGAGAUUAAGUUAAAAACUAUAAUAAAUCAAUGUAUAUGCCAGAUCAGCUAGAGCUUUAUCAUAUAUCUUAAUUCUUGAAUGGUAACCUUGUCCACCUGUUUGAUGGCAGAAAGGAGACUGUUUUUCAUUUUUUAGUAAAAUAAAAUGAAAACCGCAGAAUACUUUUGCAAAUGAGAAAUGUAAACAACCCAGAAAAUAUAUGCUGUAACAUGUUUCCAAAAGCUAUUACUGAAAUAUUUCUUGAAAAUGGUUCAUUUUAAGAAAUGUUGAAGUGUUGUUUCUUAGUGUUUUUAAAAAUCCAAGCAUUCCAACAAAAGUGUUUGGUGUUUUCAUUUCUAAAAAUAAAAACAUAUAUGAAAAACCAUUUCUAUUUUGAAACCAAAAGAGGUCCUAUGUUUCCUAAAAAGGGGAAUGGUUUUUUUUUUUUUUUUUUCUAAAUUAAAGUGCAAGUAUAUGAUUUAAAGAAAAAUAAAGAAAUGCGAGUUUUAUGAGAUAUGCUUUGUAUUAUGUUAUAUCCCCUGAAAUUUACUCUUAUUAUGUUGCUUUUUAGAUGUUUUCAUUUUCUUUGGAUGGCUUUAUUAUGAAAUAUUUUUGCAUCUCAUUAUAGAUUUCAUUAUACAAACAACUGUAUACUACUUGUGACAUUAACUUGUUUUCAUUAGGUUCAAGUGCAUAGAUUUGGAUGGAAAUGGAGUUCUGACAAGGAAUGAAAUGCAAUUCUUUUAUGAGGAGCAGUUGCAUCGAAUGGAAUGCAUGGCCCAAGAGCCUGUGCUCUUUGAGGAUAUAUUGUGUCAGAUAGUUGAUAUGAUUGGUCCAGAGGUAGACCCUCUUGUUGUUUCAUUUAUUGUAAUAGAUUAGUGACAUUUUCCCUUACUGUAUUUUAUGUUGUGUUUGGAAGCAAGCCAAGAAAAAACGACUUCUAAUGGCCAUGAAUAUUUUCCUUAAAAAUAUAAUAUUCUAAUAAUUUGAAGAAACGUAACUCGACCAGAGUCUAUAUAGGAUAAAUGCCCUAUAUUCAGGGAUCCUUUUGGAUGGUGAAAAAUUAGUUCUCUUUCAACCUCUGAGGUGUGCCUUAUUGAAGUUGCCCUUCACACAUGAUCCACACCCUGCCUGAACAUUCAUCCUCACCCCACUCCCUCCCCAUGCACUGUGAAAAAAGAAAAAGAAAACAAAAGAAAAGGAAAAGAAAGUUGAAUAAAGGAAAUUGUACAUUGGACCAGUCUUUCGGUCAUCUGGCAGAUUGCAUUGGCUUUACAAAGCAAUUUUCCUUGGAUGUAACUCAGAAUGACAAUUAGCCAGAGAUGCUUUUACUCUGUAUGACACUCUUUCUUUGUGGCAGAACGAGAGCUAUAUCACGCUGCGUGACUUGAAAGGUUGUAAACUUUCUGGAAGUGUCUUCAAUAUCCUUUUCAACCUUAAUAAGUUUAUGGCUUUUGAAACUCGUGAUCCAUUUCUCAUUCGUCAGGUAAAUCAAAUAGUUUACUCUUGUUAGUUUUUAUGUAUUGUUUCAUCAUGCAUAACAACUCCCUGAUGCUUUUAUGAUAUGACCAGGAGCGUGAAAAUCCAACAUUGACCGAGUGGGAUCGCUUUGCACAUAGGGAAUAUAUAAGGCUCUCGAUGGAAGAAGAUGUUGAAGAAGCCUCAAAUGGAAGUGCAGAAGUUUGGGACGAAUCACUAGAGGCUCCCUUCUAAUUUUAGUUGGUAAGCUACUUUAAUUUAGGUGAUGAUGGUUCUGAUGGCAGUGUUACUUUCAUUUUUUCUAUGCAGCAAUAUUUAAUUGAAUAAUAUUUUUUAAAUAUCAAAAUGCAUGGUCUCCUAUUAGUUAGGGAAAUUCUGGAGUAGUAAUAUUAGAACUCUGUAUGUGCUGUCCUUGGGGCUGCGGGUAGAGGAUUGUGAUCAACAAGAUUAAUAUGGUAAGAAGAUUGCGCCGUUUGAUUUUCCUUAGUUCUGUUGGAUGGUGCAAAUUUUUUGGGGCAAGCAGAGUCAAAUGUGUUCAAAUUAGAAACUUCAAAUCAUGUUGUUCUAAUAUUAAAUCGUAGUUGGUUUUAAGCCUUAGUUCAAUACUUUGACUUCAUUGCAGGUGCUGGGAAAAAAAGAAAAAAAAAAGAAAAAAAAGUCCCAAAUUCUUCUUCCAAACUGGCUGCCAGACAAUGAAACAGUCAUACCACAAGGUUAGACCUUGAGCUGAAACCUAUACGUUCAUCAGAGAAAUCCUGAGUUUGGCUAUGUGGAAUAGAUGUUUGAUGGUAGAAAGAAUAAUCAGGCCUAUGUGUGGAUGAAUUGAGAGAGGUGGCUCCAUAUCCAAGUAUCAAAAAUCUGCAAAAGGGUGCUGUUUCUGAGAGCUGCUGAUUAAUCAAAAUCAGGUAAAAGUAGUUCAGAACAUUUUUGUUCUAUUUGUAAGAUAUCAUUUAUGUCUUGAGUUUUUCUUUUUCUUUUUCUUUUGUUCCUUGAAAAAUUAGUGGUUGUUUUUUGGAUACUUUCGUAUGUAUGGCAAUGUUUUGUAUUCUGGUGAAACUGAGUUGGAUCAUGCUCAUUUAUCAAUUUAUUGCUUGGUUCUUUUUUCUAUAUUAUUGAAUUGACGUUGUUAGUGAAUGAGUGUACAUGUUUGUUUUCCUGAAAUUUUGAAUAUAUAUUGGAGUAUCCAUAUCUGGAGUCAAAACUAUUAUCCAAGCAACUUUUGAAGGUCACAAAAAACUAUCUAAACUUCUGACAUGGAUCCCUUCCUAUUGGUAAAGAGCAAGUGGCUUUUCUGGAGAUCAUGUAAUUGCUUCACAAGCAAAACAAACCUGUUCAAAGGUUAAAGUUUUGUGUUAAAUGGUAUUGAUAACAUGUUUUGGUAGUCGUUUGAAAAGGUUUAUAUUCAUUAAAAUAGAGAAAAUUUAGUUCUGGUGCAGGUUUUUUAGGGGUCUACUGUCUGGUGAUUGGGGCAGAAUGUAGAGGCUUUGGACAAGAGUCAGGUGUAACUAGAGGUUUAUGGGAGGAUUUAUGUUGUAUUUCCUAUGAUUUUCAAAAUGCCUUGGUCCCUUGCUUUAGGACCUCUUCAAUAGUGAGGGGCUUUUCAGAUUUCAUACCAGAUUUCAGUUCGGGGGAGGGUCCUUUACUUGGUGUGCUGUUCAAGAUGUGCUUUUCAUAUCUCAUGUAUAUCAUUCUCUGGUUGUUCUCAUAUUGGGAGGGGUAUUUUCCAAAUGGGUCUAGUAUAAUCCUUUCCAGGCUAGUUUCUGAUCCUCACAAUGCUUCUGGUGAAGGAAGAUCUUGAUGUGGUCAUUUGCUAAUGAGGCUGUCGAGUCUUAGAUUUAAAAGUUAUGGACGGAGUGUUGCAUGUGUGUUGGAUAUUGGGAAGGCCUAUGAUUGCAUUAACUAGGAUUUCUUGCUCUUAGAUGCAGGGAGCAAGGGUUUUGAGCAGAAGUGGAUGGAGUGGAUUCAGUUUUGUAUCUUUGCCCUUAGGUUCUCUAUGUUGGUUAUAAUGGGUUUCCAAUGGGUUAUUCCCCAAUGCCCAUGGUUGGAAGGUACUCUCCCGUACUUGUUAGUGUUAGUGAUGGGGUCUUGAGCUGUUUUAUUGAUAUUCAUAGAGAGCUGUAUUAGGGGAUUCCUGGUGGUGAGUGGCGGUGGGGAAGGGGUAUGAUCCUGCACUUCACUUGUUAUUUGUCAAUGAUUCCCUUUGUUUAAGGAGGAAGUGUGCAAAUUAAUUGGGUUGUUUGUGAGGGUGAUUCUCUUCUGCUUUGAGUCAAUCAUGAGGCUUAAAAUCAAUCUUUGUAGGAGUGAAAUAUCUGGGUGGGGAAAGCUGUGUCUACCUAUUUUGGUUACCAUUGGGUGCUCCUUUAGUUCUGCAUCUAUUUGAGACUCAAAAGGAGGAAAUAUUUAGAAGGCUGGCUUAUACUUGGAAGAGGCAAUAUGCUAGGUGUUGUUCCAAAAUGUGAAAGAGAAUUUAGUUGAAUAUCUAGUUGACUAUGGUCAUGGCAGCAGCCCACGACAGGCCAUGGCUGCCAACCUCUGCUCGUUCUGUUUUCAAAUUCUCUCAUAGUUGAGGAAAAAAAAAAUGAUGGUGAACAACAAGAAAGAAAUGAAGAGGAAAGGGAAUGUGAUCCGUGUCGAAUCAUGGUCGGACCCCACUUUUUAUGUGUGUGUGUGUAUAUAUAUAUAUGCAUAUCAAAGACAGGGGAAGAAGGGAAGGGAAAAGGGUGGACCAGGGUAGGGUCGGGUUUAUUGGGUGGGUGGGAAGGUGGGAAGAGGAAGAAGAUUGUGGCAGGUAUGGAGAGAGAUAAGGCAAAGUUGAGGGAAAGUGAAAAAUAGGUGGAUUCCUGGUCUGUAUGUAACUUGUGGCAACAAACUUCACAAUUUUGGCCCUGGAUCUUGUGAGGGUUGGUAAGGAUGAAACAAACAACUUUUGGAUGUCCAGAAAGUUUAAGAGAGAAAAUGGUAAGGGAUAAAAGAUUUAAAGAAAAAUAUGAAAAAAAAUUACAAAAAUUUCUCCUAUUCUCAAAAAUUAACAUCUUAAAAUAUUUCCUUUUCCUUAAUAGCAUUGAGAAACCAGCUUUUGUGAUCGAAGAUGUUAAUAACUAAUUUAACCCCCUUCCAUAUCGUUAGGGUUCCAAAUCUUUUUUGAAGGAUUGAGCCUAAUCUUGAAUUUCCCUUUCCAUAGGUGUGUCAGCUUUGAUGAUCCACUGGAUAUGAAGUUUCCUAGAUUGCAAAAUAAAUAACAAGAUUUGCUUCAAAUUGGGGAAUGCAUCCUAAAAAUCAAAACAAAUAAUUCAAUUACAUUUUUCUGCUGCCAAUAAAAGAAAAAGAAAAAGUAUGAAACAAACAAAAUGAGGUGCCCAUCAUCCGUUCAAAAACUCAAAACAAGAUGUUUGGGAUUGGAUUUUCAAGGACGUAGAAAGAAAGAGUAGUAUGUGAGUUGUUGGGGGAAGCAAUUAGAACCAAGGAGACCAUUCAGAAUUGUUUUUUGGCAACCCCAACUUCCCUCCCUUUUUAGGUACCUUCAUUGCUAGAGAUUGUGGAUUAGGCUUUAUAACCUUGUCAUCCACCGUCUUAAAUAAACUCCAAGCUUCCUUCCAUUAAAUAUUCAACCAAAUUCUUCCAAAUAUUCAUAAAAUCAAUACCAUUUUUUCAAAUCAAGUCUCUUUCAUAUGUCAUCUCAAGUUUUUAAGGUUAUUUUUCUCUUUCAUAGAUCUUUGAAGUAACCAUUUUUCCUUCAUGAAUUCACUCUCCUCCUAAAAUAUCAAUGUUUAUGAUGCCUAGUAUGCCAUGUCCACCUUGUCAAAUAGCUUGGCAUCCAACACUUGUUCCAAUCAGUUACGCCGCUGAAAUGUUUUUGCCGACUCCACCCAUCCCCACUACCCUCCUCAUUUUUCUCUCCAUGAUUUCAUUAAAACUUGAGUCUCUAUAGCCUGAUCCCAUAUCUUGAGGGGGGCAGACUAGAAUAUGUGACAUGUUUUCUCACGUUUGUGAGCCUCUUGCCUUGUACUUUGCCUCCUUGCUUAACCACUUGGACACCACCCACUGAAACAGCUCUUGAGAGGGGCGAUCAAAGAUGGGUAUUGGAUUGAUUGAAUGAAAGAGAUGAAGAUGAAGAAGAUGAAAGGUUUGAGAUAUCAAAGUGGAAUGAGAUUCACCAAGCAGGAAUGGAUGAUAAAAGAUGCAAUGAGACGGACAGAAGGAAAACAAGGAAGUGGGGUUUUUCACCCAACCAACCGAGAGAGAGAAGGAAAGAUUGCUGGCAAUGGUGGAUGUAAGAAUGAAGAAGAUAAAUAGUAUGAUAAUGAAAAUGGUGGGGGCACCGCAAUCCAAGGGAAAAGGCCAAAAGGGUAAAGUAAUGGUGUCAUUUUUUUAUUUUUAAAAUAUUUUCCCAAGUCGUGCCAACUGCUGACCUUCUGUGAAAAUGCACCGACCAUUCACGCGCUAUUUGCAGCCGUGCAGAUUGCGUGUAGGCCCGGCGCACUUGCCGCCCCAAAAAGGAAACCCACUUCCCCUCUUUCAAAAAGGUUCAAAUUCCAACACGCUUAGGUGUUUACUCAUUUUCAUCUUUCUUUAAUAUUUAUUUUAUUUUUACCUUUUAUAAUUUGUUUAGAUUGUCAACUUUUUAGAUAAUAUUAAAACUAUAUAUAUAUAUAUAUAUAUAUUUUUUUUUUUGGGUUGGAUAAAAAUGAAUGUUAAUAUUUUAAAAUUUUAGCAAUGAAUUAUAAUAUUUUACAAAAUUCACACAAAUUUUUAUUUUGAAAUUAAUAUUAAAUUAUUUUAAAUAAACACAAAUGAAAUGAAUAAUAAUUCUUUAAAUGAAUAAUGUAAUGAUAAAUUUCUAAAAAAAAGUACAUUAAUAAUAAAAAUAAAUCAUAUAUUUAUUUCAUUAAAGAAGAAUUAUAACAUUUUAGUUAAAAUUAUAAAAUAUGGAUAUUCAUAUUUUAACAAAGUCAUGACCAAUAUUUUCUUCCUGAAAAAAAAAAUAUUUAAUACUAUUUUAUUUAAAAUUAAAAUAAUAAAAAUUAAAAUAAUUUAUUUCUUAAAUAUGCAAAUAAACUAAUUUUAUGAUUACAUUUACAUAAAUCCAAUUUUUGACAAAGUAUUAUAGACAGAUUUGUUCCAACGAUUUCUCGUAAUAAUUGGCAUAAUUUUUGGAAGGACUCGUUCAAAAUUUUACUAUAUUAAGUCUCCAUUGAUAGGGUGUCCUUCGUCUAAAAGAAAAAAUUUAGAAAAUUAUAGUUGUGUGCAGGAGAUAAAUUAAUUUUGAUCCAGAAAAUUUUAGUAUUAAUUAAUUUAAUUUUUAAAUUUUAGAUUAGUUUCAAAUAUUAUAGACUCGUUCACUAAUCCAAUGCAUUAAACUUUGAUGAUUUGGAGUCCCAUUACAUAGUUUAAAAAUUUUGAGUAGGUUAGCGAAUAUAAGGGAAUUACAAUUCUUUGCUUUGAACAUGAGGUGUUUCAUGCUUUAACUUGAGUAAUGCAUGCAGGAACGAAGGGCAAUGUACACUUACGUUUGUUUACUUGCACCUGACACCCAACUUGGGACUAAUUUCCUUAAAUUUUCUCAAUUGAGUAAAUAAAUUUUAAAUCAAACAAGACUUAAAUGGAUUACAUUCAUUAAGAAGUUAAUUAUUUUUUAAAAAUAGUUUGAAAAGAAUUCAAAGAAAUUAAUAUCAUAAUUUCUCGGACCAAAACAGGGUACAAAAUGACCAUGUUGGUUUUUCCUUCCUAGAUAAUUAUGCUUUUAUGAUUUUUUUUUUUUUUUUCACUAGGCAAACAUACUCAAAAUCAAUUGAGACUUUAAUGUGUUGGAUUCUUUAAUGAGUUUAGCAAUUCUGAAAAUUAAUUUGGAACUUAUAUGUUGGAUUCUUUAAAAAUAAUGUGGAUGUAGACCCUUGUUUUGGGUCCUCAAGGUUGAGAUAUUUUAGGCCACCUUUAUUUUUUACCACCUUUGUAGAGGUUUUUAGAGCUCCUUUUGGGAGGCAUGUUAGAGAGCAUGUUUACUUUGCUCACCUUGACUUGUAUAUUCUUAGUGUUGCUUAUCUCGUUCAUCUUGAUAUGUUGACUCUCUUUGUUGUAUAUUAUCAUGAUUAUUUUUUAGCAUGCUAUUCAUCUUGCUUAUCUCAUUUCCUGCUUAGAUUGUUUGUAGAUUUGGAUGAUAUAUACCUGCUUUAUAUGAUUGCUCUUCUUCUACAUGAUGCAUGUGUUGCUUGUUUAUGUGGGACACACUUAUCCCCUUAUCUCCAAUUCCGUAAACUCGAUCGACCUUGUUUCCCUUGAUCUCAUAUUUGAUACAAGACUUGUUGAUUUUUUUUCUUUGACCAAGCUAAUGAUUAGUAGUAGGGUCUAGCAAUGGGUUAUAUUUAUGUUUGGGAGCAUUCUGGAGAAGGCUAACACAUUGAUGUUGAUUAGAGUCCGACUUUUGAAAUUUGGUAUGGCCUAGAGCUAGAUUCUAGGAUAUUUGUGUGACUAGUAUGUUUUUUUCUACUUAGUUUGAUAGGAUUUUCAGAUGUAACAACACCAUUCACUGUGUACCUUAGAUCACUACUGAGCGCAAAGAGAUGUGAGGGCCUUCACCAUAGGAAACCCCCUAGGAUUCAAGGUAGUGUAUGUGCAUAAGUAAUGACCACCUUGCAUGAAAACGCCUUGUCUUUUCAGAGGCGUGUAGGAGGUUAUGUAUCACCUGAAGAUGUGAUCUCUUUUGCUAGGGGCCCUUUAAGUCUAUCUUUUUCCUUUUAGAGCCACCUUGACCUUAUAGGUUGAGCCUUAGAUCCCUCAAUUAAGAUUCCUACCUCAGACAUGGGUACAUCUGAUAGCUUUUCGAGCCACUUUAGUCACUGCCUGGACCUAUUACUCCUUCCUUUGGUCUCUAGUUGAGAGUACUCAAAGAUUAGUACAAGUUUGAGUAUAUGUUGAAUCACCAUUUGCCUUAUUACGUCAGAUUCUUUCUUCUGCUCAUUGAGUUUAGUGUGCUUCCUUUCUAGGGCUUUAAUCAGUCUUCCUUGCUCAAGUUGGCACAUUUUUUCAGUUUAUUGUCACUUUUUGUUUGGUGCUUUGGAAUACGCUCAUUAAUCUCACUCACAUUUUUACAUCUUACAUUUAUCAUGGGUCUGAUACCCCAUUCUUUGUUUGAUCCUUGAUUUAAUUUUCAAACCCAAUGCUCACAUUUUCAUUAAAGAAUGAUGAAAGGCAUGUUUUCACAUUCAUACCCUUUUGAGAAAUUUGCCUUGAUCACCUUAUCAUUUUCCUUUAUGGAGCUUGGGUUGAAAGUUGAGUCAAGGAUACUUGGAUACAA